GAACAAUGUCGACAAAUAGAAGAGAGACAUAAGAAGGCCAUGGAAAAAGAAUGAGAGAGUGGUCUUAUGUUCUGUUUUGGGCUAAGAGUUUCAGAACCAAACACUAGUUUCAGGACAAAGACACAACGUAAGACGAUUAUGAUUACUGUGGCCUCUUUAUAGUAUAACACAAAAAUAUGUCCUAGGGCCGCUUGUUCUGUUUCCCUAAAGAGGUAGUCACGGGCCUCACGGCUCUGGUUCCAGCUAAGAUAUACGUAUGUCCCUUAAGAGUGGCCAUCAAUGGUGUGGUCAUUAGUGGGUUAGCCAACCACUAAGCAAUUAGCUCGAGUGGCCUCACGUUAAGUGAAACUCGUGAUCUUUAGGACGUUAAUCUUUUGUUCUUCUUGUAGUUUCUAUGAAUCUAAGUCGAGUUUUAAAGUUUGGAUGUUGUCUACUUUGAGAACAUGUUUAGAUUAUCUUUUCUCCUAUGUAAGUUUAUUAGUGUGUUUGGCUUUUAGGAUAACUUGUAAUCCUUUUAUUUUAAUAUAAAUGGAGUGUUUGUAGUCAAUAAUUUUUUUAAUAAAAAAACACUUAUCUUGUC
This 580-nucleotide long non-coding RNA is filed under the name Capsella grandiflora. Its description in RNAcentral is "long non-coding RNA (CGRA_LNC001114)". The record is from RNAcentral. Lineage: Eukaryota; Viridiplantae; Streptophyta; Magnoliopsida; Brassicales; Brassicaceae.